Long non-coding RNA from Nanorana parkeri, 540 nucleotides. RefSeq lists it as uncharacterized. The record is from RefSeq and is a predicted model, not a curated record. The transcript is spliced from 3 exons. NCBI's taxonomy places the organism in Eukaryota, Metazoa, Chordata, Amphibia, Anura, Dicroglossidae.
AACACUUCUAUGGCAGCCCCAACAGUUGUGCCCACAACGUCCCCUUCGAAAAGGAACACCUUUGACGCUGCUAGCUUCAUUGGUGGGAUAGUCCUUGUUUUGGGUAUCCAAGCAGUUGUAUUCUUCUUGUACAAGUUCUGCAAAGCCAAAGAAAGGAAUUACCAUACCCUUUAAAACCUCUCGCUUCGGACUGCUGGCCAACAUCGCUCUAACCAAAUGUUGUAAACUUGAAGAUUUCUCAUGAAUCUCCUCAUUUGAAGAAUGAGGCCUUUUUUUUUUUUUUUUAUCUCCGCAAAUUGAAUGGAACCAUGUUUGUGACAUCACUGUCAAGAAGAAAUGUAUUACAGCUCUGUAAUGCUGUGAACUGCAUGCUCCAAUCACAUCUGCUUCCUAGAAUAUCUAAAACUGCUUUUUUUUUUUUCCCCCACUCCUGUUCUAGAGGGGAAGAAAUAUUUCUAUGAGUAAAUCUACAAAGUACAGUACUGACAUGAACUUUACAUUACAGAGAGCGUAAAAGCUCUGGGAAUGUGAUAUAACUGA